GAUGAACGCUGGCGGCGUGCCUAAUACAUGCAAGUCGAGCGAACAGACGAGGAGCUUUCUCCUUUGACGUUAGCGGCGGACGGGUGAGUAACACGUGGAUAACCUACCUAUUAGACUGGGAUAACUUCGGGAAACCGGAGCUAAUACCGGAUAAUAUAUUGAACCGCAUGGUUCAAUAGUGAAAGACGCUUUUGCUGUCACUUAUAGAUGGAUCCGCGCCGCAUUAGCUAGUUGGUAAGGUAACGGCCUACCAAGGCAACGAUGCGUAGCCGACCUGAGAGGGUGAUCGGCCACACUGGAACUGAGACACGGUCCAGACUCCUACGGGAGGCAGCAGUAGGGAAUCUUCCGCAAUGGGCGAAAGCCUGACGGAGCAACGCCGCGUGAGUGAUGAAGGUCUUCGGAUCGUAAAACUCUGUUAUUAGGGAAGAACAAAUGUGUAAGUAACUAUGCACGUCUUGACGGUACCCAAUCAGAAAGCCACGGCUAACUACGUG
This 497-nucleotide ribosomal RNA is filed under the name uncultured bacterium. RNAcentral describes it as "partial 16S ribosomal RNA". It matches the Rfam family "Bacterial small subunit ribosomal RNA", at positions 28 to 507 of the family's 1533-position model. The record is from RNAcentral.